UGUGUGAGUGUGCGCCGCGCCACGUGCAUGCGCUGGGGUAGGGGAGGAGCUGCCACUAGCUCAAGGCUAGCCCUCUGAAGAAGGUCUCAGGUGCUAG
This is a non-coding RNA of Vicugna pacos (alpaca), 97 nucleotides long. NCBI's taxonomy places the organism in Eukaryota, Metazoa, Chordata, Mammalia, Artiodactyla, Camelidae. The record is from RefSeq and is a predicted model, not a curated record.